This 1218-nucleotide ribosomal RNA is filed under the name Bacillus pumilus. Its description in RNAcentral is "bacterial SSU rRNA". It matches the Rfam family "Bacterial small subunit ribosomal RNA", at positions 99 to 1304 of the family's 1533-position model. Lineage: Bacteria; Bacillati; Bacillota; Bacilli; Caryophanales; Bacillaceae. The record is from RNAcentral.
CGGACGGGUGAGUAACACGUGGGUAACCUGCCUGUAAGACUGGGAUAACUCCGGGAAACCGGAGCUAAUACCGGAUAGUUCCUUGAACCGCAUGGUUCAAGGAUGAAAGACGGUUUCGGCUGUCACUUACAGAUGGACCCGCGGCGCAUUAGCUAGUUGGUGGGGUAAUGGCUCACCAAGGCGACGAUGCGUAGCCGACCUGAGAGGGUGAUCGGCCACACUGGGACUGAGACACGGCCCAGACUCCUACGGGAGGCAGCAGUAGGGAAUCUUCCGCAAUGGACGAAAGUCUGACGGAGCAACGCCGCGUGAGUGAUGAAGGUUUUCGGAUCGUAAAGCUCUGUUGUUAGGGAAGAACAAGUGCGAGAGUAACUGCUCGCACCUUGACGGUACCUAACCAGAAAGCCACGGCUAACUACGUGCCAGCAGCCGCGGUAAUACGUAGGUGGCAAGCGUUGUCCGGAAUUAUUGGGCGUAAAGGGCUCGCAGGCGGUUUCUUAAGUCUGAUGUGAAAGCCCCCGGCUCAACCGGGGAGGGUCAUUGGAAACUGGGAAACUUGAGUGCAGAAGAGGAGAGUGGAAUUCCACGUGUAGCGGUGAAAUGCGUAGAGAUGUGGAGGAACACCAGUGGCGAAGGCGACUCUCUGGUCUGUAACUGACGCUGAGGAGCGAAAGCGUGGGGAGCGAACAGGAUUAGAUACCCUGGUAGUCCACGCCGUAAACGAUGAGUGCUAAGUGUUAGGGGGUUUCCGCCCCUUAGUGCUGCAGCUAACGCAUUAAGCACUCCGCCUGGGGAGUACGGUCGCAAGACUGAAACUCAAAGGAAUUGACGGGGGCCCGCACAAGCGGUGGAGCAUGUGGUUUAAUUCGAAGCAACGCGAAGAACCUUACCAGGUCUUGACAUCCUCUGACACCCCUAGAGAUAGGGCUUCCCCUUCGGGGGCAGAGUGACAGGUGGUGCAUGGUUGUCGUCAGCUCGUGUCGUGAGAUGUUGGGUUAAGUCCCGCAACGAGCGCAACCCUUGAUCUUAGUUGCCAGCAUUCAGUUGGGCACUCUAAGGUGACUGCCGGUGACAAACCGGAGGAAGGUGGGGAUGACGUCAAAUCAUCAUGCCCCUUAUGACCUGGGCUACACACGUGCUACAAUGGACAGAACAAAGGGCAGCGAGACCGCGAGGUUAAGCCAAUCCCACAAAUCUGUUCUCAGUUCGGAUCGCAGU